RNAcentral lists this transfer RNA (77 nucleotides) under Pteropus alecto (black flying fox). It matches the Rfam family "tRNA". From Rfam's summary of the family: Transfer RNA (tRNA) molecules are approximately 80 nucleotides in length. Their secondary structure includes four short double-helical elements and three loops (D, anti-codon, and T loops). Lineage: Eukaryota; Metazoa; Chordata; Mammalia; Chiroptera; Pteropodidae. The record is from Rfam by way of RNAcentral.
GACUCCAUAGUGUAGUGGUUAGCACAUCUGCUUUACACCCAGAAGAAGGUCCUAGGUUUGCGCCCCAGGUGGAGCCA